CAUCCGCUGCUCGGCGCGCGUUGGGGGGGCCCGGGCGGUCCCAUCCUCCGGGCUUGCCAUCCCAUGUGUGGCACCACGCCACGGUAAUUGGAGCGAGAGGUCAUCCUCCGCCCCGUGCCUCAGACGUUCGAGUCGGGUCUGAGCGAGCGUGUCCCUACCGAACAGGAUUAAACACACGGGACGACCCCAUUCGUCGCUCCGGCGGCGAGGCCACGGCCAAACACCACAUACAUAACUAUACCGAACCAAAUCAGUUUAUUACAACUGGUAGCGUUGGAUCCCUCGGCAUGGCUAUCGAUGAAGAGCGCGGCCAGCUGCGAAAUGUGAUGUGAAUUGCAACUCAAAGCGGUUAUCGUGAAUCAUUGACUACUUGAACGCAUUGCACCGCCCUUUUGGGAGUGGUACGCCCGAUUGAGAGUCAUAAUCUCCUUCAGGCCGGGAUGUCUCAGCCGUUCGCUCGGCGACCGUUCCC
This 472-nucleotide ribosomal RNA is filed under the name uncultured Tulasnellaceae. RNAcentral describes it as "eukaryotic LSU rRNA". The stretch from base 263 to 421 matches the Rfam family "5.8S ribosomal RNA". Lineage: Eukaryota; Fungi; Basidiomycota; Agaricomycetes; Cantharellales; Tulasnellaceae. The record is from RNAcentral.